Mytilus californianus (California mussel) is the source of this 1440-nucleotide long non-coding RNA. RefSeq lists it as uncharacterized. Lineage: Eukaryota; Metazoa; Mollusca; Bivalvia; Mytilida; Mytilidae. The transcript is spliced from 2 exons. The record is from RefSeq and is a predicted model, not a curated record.
AUGUAUUUCAUCAGUACCAUGUCAUCAUGAAGGAACGUGUAUAACUACAGACAAUUCUUCAUAUUGUUUAUGUGCAGAUGGAUACCUGGGAAAAAAUUGUGAAUAUAGAGGUCCUUCAGGUUACCAGUUCUUUGUAGUGUUUAAUCCGAGGCUGAGGAAAGUUACCCUUUACCUGUCAUCCCGGAAGCAUGGACAUUGUGAUAUCAUUUACCCAUCUUUUAAACGAACCAAAACGUUGACACUGGAAGGAGAAUAUGUAGCAUUUGGCUUAUCCAAUGACUUUGCUAACGAUACCGAAAGCAGUGAUGUACACGUUCGUAUUUUCUGUGACGUCCUCAUUACUUUAUUUAAUUUUGUCAAAGAUAGUUAUGGCUCAAUUUGGGAGUCAUACACUGCGAUACCCUCUGCAUUGUUAUCUACACAAUAUGUUGUACCACAGUUUAAAACUCAGCAGAAGUUUGAUGCACUUGGAGUGAUAGCAAUCGAAGAGGAUACACAAAUCAAUGUUAAUUUUACAUCGGCACGGUGGAUUCUGAGUAACAUUACAUUUCGUCAAAGCACUUACCAUAAGGGCCAGUUAUUGUCAUUUACGACAGAUCCAUACAUAUACAAUUAUAUAAGCUGCGAUGAGUGUUAUCUUACAGGAACGUAUAUUACGUCAUCUUACCCAGUGGCUGUAAUGUUUAAAUCUUCUAUUCCUGAGGUAGUUCCGUUACUACCUUAUAAAGAAUUUAGUCGUCAAUUCAUUGUUCCAAAACUUCAAGAAGAAAUUAAGACUAUGGGGCUAAGAAUAUUUGCGCAUACUAGAACUAGACUAGAAUUAAAGGAUGAUAAUAAUGUAGUGUCUACCGUCCUAAAUGCAAACAACUACCAUAACACAAACCACAAGAACACAACGGCCAUAACGGCAGACCAAAAUGUUUUAUUGUUCCUAAAGAUUCAUAGUCCUCAUACAGGAACUAUUGAUGUGACUGUUCCAAGUGAUACACAGUAUUUACCCGAAUAUCAGUUUAUCAUUCCACACGGCGCAAUGAAAAGCCUUGCAACGUUUAUCAUCAAGUUAGGGUUUACGCAAGGUAUUCGGCUUAAUGAUGAUAUUAUCAAAAACGACGAGUUUAACCAGAAAAUGACGAUCAAGUUAAAUACCAAUGAUUACCAGAUUUUCUCUGUAAAUGUUACUACCGGUUGGCACACAGUUCAUCAUAUUGAACAUGUGCCCUUUGGAAUUUUAAUUCAAGGUAUUUCAAAUUCUCAAAACAAGCAAUUUUCAAGUCCUUAUGCAUAUUUUCCUGGUAUGAAUUACAGUGUGGUUUAGAAUUGAUACGUUUAUUCGUAUUAUCUACAACAUUACUUUUUUCCGUAUGUACAUUUCAUAUUUAGACCAAAUGCUCUAUUGUGACAAAUAACAAAAAUAUCAGAUCUAUAAAACUAGAUAUGCUU